AGAAAAUCCUCACAGAACCUCCAAACUCAGAAUUAGUGUGUGUAAAUUCUGAGUUUGGAGGUUCUGUGAGGAUUUUCU
Xyrichtys novacula (pearly razorfish) is the source of this 78-nucleotide non-coding RNA. The record is from the annotation of a GenBank genome assembly. Lineage: Eukaryota; Metazoa; Chordata; Actinopteri; Labriformes; Labridae.